This 551-nucleotide ribosomal RNA is filed under the name Sarcophaga crassipalpis. Its description in RNAcentral is "partial 12S ribosomal RNA". The stretch from base 1 to 368 matches the Rfam family "Microsporidia small subunit ribosomal RNA", at positions 797 to 1311 of the family's 1311-position model. Lineage: Eukaryota; Metazoa; Arthropoda; Insecta; Diptera; Sarcophagidae. The record is from RNAcentral.
UUUAGUCUAUUCAGAGGAACCUGUCUUGUAAUCGAUAAUCCACGAUGGACCUUACUUAAGUUUGUAUUCAGUUUAUAUACCGUCGUUAUUAGAAUAUUUUAUAAGAAAGUUAAUUUUCAAGAUUUUUAAAAAGAAAAUAUAUCAGAUCAAGGUGUAGCUUAUAUUUAAGUAUUGAUGGGUUACAAUAAAAUUAUUUAAAUGGAUAUAAAUUUGAAAAAUUUAUUGAAAGUGGAUUUGAUAGUAAAAUUAUAUAGAUUAAUAAUUUGAUUUUAGCUCUAAAAUAUGCACACAUCGCCCGUCACUCUUAUUACUAAGGUAAGAUAAGUCGUAACAUAGUAGAUGUACUGGAAAGUGUACCUAGAAUGCAAUUUAAAGCUUAUUCAGUAAAGCAUUUCAUUUACAUUGAAAAGAUUUUUGUGCAAAUCAAUAUAAAUUGAUUGUAUUUUAUUUAUUAAUUAAUUUUUUUUUUAUUAUAAAUUAUUAAAAAUAAUUAUUAUAUGAUUUGUUUGAGUAUUUUAUAAAGAAAAAAUAAUUUUAAUUAUAGUUAAAUA